This 64-nucleotide transfer RNA is filed under the name Curculionoidea sp. 8 KM-2017. Its description in RNAcentral is "tRNA-Arg". The record is from RNAcentral. Lineage: Eukaryota; Metazoa; Arthropoda; Insecta; Coleoptera.
AAAUAAGAAGCAAAAUUUUGCAUUUAGUUUCGACCUAAAAAUUUGAUAUUCGUAUCCUUAUUUA